CUUCUUUGAGAAAAGUGCAGCAAGUAUGCCCCAUGCUUCUUUUGGUGAUUUAGCAUCUCGAACAUGCUCCAACACAUCCUCAUCGAUUGUUGUUUUCAGCGCAAACAUUGAUUUGCCUGCUUUUAUCUUCCACUUACGUAACGUUCCAUUUGCAUCCUCUGCCUCCGGUUGUGCAACUUCGCUUCCGUGGACAACUUCC
This 199-nucleotide long non-coding RNA is filed under the name Solanum tuberosum (potato). RNAcentral's name for it is "long non-coding RNA (STUB_LNC001532)". Lineage: Eukaryota; Viridiplantae; Streptophyta; Magnoliopsida; Solanales; Solanaceae. The record is from RNAcentral.